CCUACGGGAGGCAGCAGUGAGGAAUAUUGGUCAAUGGGCGCAACCCUGAACCAGCCAAGUAGCGUGAAGGAUGACGGCCCUACGGGUUGUAAACUUCUUUUAUAAGGGAAUAAAGUGAGUCACGUGUGCCUUGUUGCAGGUACCUCAUGAAUAAGGAACGGCUAAUUCCGUGCCAGCAGCCGCGGUAAUACGGAGGGUCCGAGCGUUAUCCGGAUUUAUUGGGUUUAAAGGGAUGGCAGAGGGGUUGUUAAGUCAGUUGUGAAAGUUUGCGGCUCAACCGUGGAACUGCAAUUGAUACUGGGGGGCUUGAGUACAGUUGAGGUAGGCGGAAUUCGUGGUGUAGCGGUGAAAUGCUUAGAUAUCACGAAGAACCCCGAUUGCGAAGGCAGCCUACUGGACUGCUACUGACGUUGAGGCUCGAAAGUGUGGGUAUCAAACAGGAUUAGAUACCCGAGUAGUC
RNAcentral lists this ribosomal RNA (460 nucleotides) under uncultured bacterium. Its description in RNAcentral is "partial 16S ribosomal RNA". It matches the Rfam family "Bacterial small subunit ribosomal RNA", at positions 338 to 795 of the family's 1533-position model. The record is from RNAcentral.